AUUGAACGCUGGCGGCAGGCCUAACACAUGCAAGUCGAGCGGAUGAAGGGAGCUUGCUCCUGGAUUCAGCGUCGGACGGGUGAGUAAUGCCUAUGAAUCUGCCUGGUAGUGGGGGAUAACGUCCGGAAACGGGCGCUAAUACCGCAUACUUCCUGAGGGUGAAAGUGGGGGAUCUUCGGACCUCACGCUAUCAGAUGAGCCUAGGUCGGAUUAGCUAGUUGGUGGGGUAAAGGCCUACCAAGGCGACGAUCCGUAACUGGUCUGAGAGGAUGAUCAGUCACACUGGAACUGAGACACGGUCAAGACGACUAAGGGAGGCAGCAGUGGGGAAUAUUAGACAAUGGGCGAAAGCAUGAUACAGCCAGGGCGCGUGUGUGAAGAAGGUCUUCGGAGUGUAAAGAACUUUAAGUUGGGAGGAAGGGCAGUAAGUUAAUACCUUGCUGUUCUGACGGUACCAACAGAAUAAGCACCGGCUAACUUCGUG
Molecule: ribosomal RNA, 484 nt
Filed under: uncultured bacterium
Lineage: Bacteria
Description: partial 16S ribosomal RNA
Rfam family: Bacterial small subunit ribosomal RNA
Source: RNAcentral